This 407-nucleotide ribosomal RNA is filed under the name uncultured Lactobacillus sp. RNAcentral's name for it is "bacterial SSU rRNA". It matches the Rfam family "Bacterial small subunit ribosomal RNA", at positions 148 to 524 of the family's 1533-position model. The record is from RNAcentral. Lineage: Bacteria; Bacillati; Bacillota; Bacilli; Lactobacillales; Lactobacillaceae.
AUUUGGAAAACAGAUGCUAAUACCGGAUAAAAGCUACUUUCGCAUGAAAGAAGUUUAAAGGGCGGGCGUAAAGCUGUCGCUAAAAGGGAUGGGACCCUGCGAUGCAUUAGCUAGUUGGUAAGGGUAACGGGCUUACCAAGGCGAUGAUGCAUAGCCCGAGUUGAGAGACUGAUCGGGCCACAUUGGGGACUGAGACACGGGCCCAAAACUCCUACGGGGAGGGCAGCAGUAGGGAAUCUUCCACAAUGGACGAAAGUCUGAUGGAGCAACGCCGCGUGAGUGAAGAAGGUUUUCGGAUCGUAAAAGCUCUGUUGUUGGUGAAGAAGGAUAGAGGUAGUAACUGGCCUUUAUUUGACGGUAAUCAACCAGAAAGUCACGGCUAACUACGUGCCAGCAGCCGCGGUAAU